AGCAGCCGCGGUAAUUCCAGCUCCAAUAGCGUAUAUUAAAGUUGUUGCAGUUAAAGAGCUCGUAGUUGAAUUUCGGGAUCAAUAUGUUGGUCGUGCCUCGGUACGUACUAGCAUAUUGGUUUCUCCUUUCUGAAGAACCAUGAUGUCAUUUAUUUGGUGUCGUGGGGAAUCAGGACUGUUACUUUGAAAAAUUAGAGUGUUUAAAGCAGGCUCACGCUUGAAUACAUUAGCAUGGAAUAAUGAAAUAGGACGUUUUGAUUCUAUUUUGUUGGUUUCUAGGAUCGACGUAAUGAUUAAUAGGGAUAGUUGGGGGCAUUAGUAUUCAAUUGUCAGAGGUGAAAUUCUUGGAUUUAUUGAAGACUAACUACUGCGAAAGCAUUUGCCAAGGAUGUUUUCAUUAAUCAAGAACGAAAGUUAGGGGAUCGAAGACGAUCAGAUACCGUCGUAGUCUUAACCAUAAACUAUGCCGACUAGGGAUCGGAUGAUGUUAAUUUUUAAUGUACUCAUUUCC
RNAcentral lists this unclassified non-coding RNA (511 nucleotides) under uncultured Glomus. RNAcentral describes it as "SSU rRNA". It matches the Rfam family "Eukaryotic small subunit ribosomal RNA", at positions 569 to 1087 of the family's 1831-position model. Lineage: Eukaryota; Fungi; Glomeromycota; Glomeromycetes; Glomerales; Glomeraceae. The record is from RNAcentral.